ACAACAUGCCUCCUAACUGCAUUUCUUUCAUUUAAUAGACGGGUGGUAUGAAACACUCCAUUUGUAAGCAAUAUUCAAUUAUUAACGCAUCAUAUGUUUGGACAGAAGUAUUCAAAAUUUUAAAUUUGUGUUAAAAAUCGGAUGUUUUUUUUAUUGAGGAGAAUAUAUCGAAAAAAACUGCUUUCUGGGACGGUGGCUAUGAUAGCACUUGUGGUUGCACCACAUACUGACACGGUGGAAAUGCCAGAAGAAAAGAAAAAGACAAAUGCAAACUCACAAGGGAAACGGAAACCAACCUCCUUAAAUGACACAUCAUGCUCAUCUGGAAAGAAAAAAAACCACAAAACAACCCUCCUCAAAGAAUAAAACCAAGCAAAACAGUACUUCAAAAGUUAAUAAAGAUUGUGGAAAAAAACAAACACAUCAGCAUAGGAAAAUAGUUUUUAAAUAAAAAAGAAAUGGAAAAAACAGAGCAGCUCAAGAAAAGAAUCUGAUAAAACAAAGGCAACAGAGAAACGGAAACAAAGUACAUUCUUAUGUGAACUAAUAAUACUAUUACCAGAGAACUGCAGGAAGGAGCAACCUAAGAAAUUUCUUAAAACUAAUUUUGGUUUU
This is a long non-coding RNA of Mytilus trossulus (common blue mussel), 615 nucleotides long. RefSeq lists it as uncharacterized. The record is from RefSeq and is a predicted model, not a curated record. Lineage: Eukaryota; Metazoa; Mollusca; Bivalvia; Mytilida; Mytilidae. The transcript has 3 exons.